RNAcentral lists this small RNA (75 nucleotides) under Kaistella treverensis. Its description in RNAcentral is "Chryseobacterium treverense Flavo-1 RNA". Lineage: Bacteria; Pseudomonadati; Bacteroidota; Flavobacteriia; Flavobacteriales; Weeksellaceae. The record is from RNAcentral.
CUCUAGCCCUGAUUGCAGCGGCAUCCUUUUGCGGAGCGUAGCGGAGCAAAAGAUAUAGCGAAAACCUAACGAAGU